UUACGGUCAUAUGAUGCUGAAACACCGGUUUGCGUACGAUCACCAAAGUUAAGCAACGUUGAGCCUGGUCAGUAACUAAAUUGGUGACCACUUGGGAAUAUCAGGUGCUGUAAG
Molecule: non-coding RNA, 114 nt
Organism: Acanthosepion pharaonis
Lineage: Eukaryota; Metazoa; Mollusca; Cephalopoda; Sepiida; Sepiidae
Source: the annotation of a GenBank genome assembly